Molecule: ribosomal RNA, 478 nt
Filed under: uncultured bacterium
Lineage: Bacteria
Description: partial 16S ribosomal RNA
Rfam family: Bacterial small subunit ribosomal RNA
Source: RNAcentral
GAUGAACGCUAGCGGCAGGCCUAACACAUGCAAGUCGAGGGAGAAGCCCUUUCGGGGGCAGAAACCGGCGCACGGGUGCGUAACGCGUAUGCAACCUACCUUUCACAGGGGGAUAGCCCGAAGAAAUUUGGAUUAAUACCCCAUAAUAUUAUUGGAUGGCAUCAUUUGAUAAUUAAAACUGCGGUGGUGAAAGAUGGGCAUGCGUCCUAUUAGCUAGUUGGAGUGGUAACGGCACCCCAAGGCUACGAUAGGUAGGGGUCCUGAGAGGGAGAUCCCCCACACUGGGAAUGAGACAGGGACCAGACUGCUACGGGAGGCAGCAGUGAGGAAUAUUGGUCAAUGGUCGGAAGACUGAACCAGCCAUGCCGCGUGCAGGAAGAAUGCCUUAUGGGUUGUAAACUGCUUUUAUAUGGGAAGAAUAAGGCGUACGAGUACGUUGAUGACGGUACCAUAUGAAUAAGCAUCGGCUAACUCCGUG